GCCAGGUGUGGUGGCACACCUAUAGUCCCAGCUAUUCGGGAGGCUGAGGAGGGAGGAUCACUUGAGUCCAGGAGUUCUGGGCUGCAGUGCGCUAUGCCGAUUGGUGUCCGCACUAAGUUCGACAUCAAUAUGGUGACCUCCCAGGAGCAGGGAACCACCAGGUUGCCUAAGGAGGGGUGAACCGGCCCAGGUUGGAAACAGAGCAGGUCAAACCCCCCCCAAAAAAUAUAUAUAUAAAAUGCAGCUGCCUCAUCUUUAAUAUUUCCAUAAGUUUAUUCUUUCCUGA
Fukomys damarensis (Damara mole-rat) is the source of this 286-nucleotide non-coding RNA. NCBI's taxonomy places the organism in Eukaryota, Metazoa, Chordata, Mammalia, Rodentia, Bathyergidae. The record is from Rfam.